Molecule: ribosomal RNA, 177 nt
Filed under: uncultured Comamonadaceae bacterium
Lineage: Bacteria; Pseudomonadati; Pseudomonadota; Betaproteobacteria; Burkholderiales; Comamonadaceae
Description: partial 16S ribosomal RNA
Rfam family: Bacterial small subunit ribosomal RNA
Source: RNAcentral
UGAGGAAUAUUGGACAAUGGGUGAAAGCCUGAUCCAGCCAUCCCGCGUGAAGGAUUAAGGACCUAUGGUUUGUAAACUUCUUUUGUACGGAACGAAAAGACUCUCUCUAAUACAGGGCGCUCAUGACGGUACCGUAAGAAUAAGCACCGGCUAACUACGUGCCAGCAGCCGCGGUAA